RNAcentral lists this ribosomal RNA (1071 nucleotides) under uncultured bacterium. RNAcentral describes it as "bacterial SSU rRNA". It matches the Rfam family "Bacterial small subunit ribosomal RNA", at positions 388 to 1504 of the family's 1533-position model. The record is from RNAcentral.
GGAGCACGCCGCGUGCAGGAUGAAGGCCUUCGGGUUGUAAACUGCUUUUAUAUGUGAUGAUUAUGACAGUAGCAUAUGAAUAAGGAUCGGCUAACUCCGUGCCAGCAGCCGCGGUCAUACGGAGGAUUCAAGCGUUAUCCGGAAUUACUGGGCGUAAAGAGUUGCGUAGGUUGCAAAGUAAGCAAAUAGUAAAAGCGUACAGCUCAACUGUAUUUAUAUUAUUUGAACUGCUUAGCUAGAGGAUGAGAGAGGUUAUUGGAAUUCCUAGUGUAGGAGUGAAAUCCGUAGAUAUUAGGAGGAACACCGAUGGCGUAGGCAGAUAACUGGCUCAUUCCUGACACUAAGGCACGAAAGCGUGGGGAGCAAACGGGAUUAGAUACCCCGGUAGUCCACGCUGUAAACUAUGAAUGCUAGCUGUUAAAGGUAUCGACCCCUUUAGUAGCGAAGCUAACGCGUUAAGCAUUCCGCCUGUGGAGUACGGUCGCAAGACUAAAACAUAAAGGAAUUGACGGGGACCCGCACAAGCGGUGGAGCGUGCUGUUUAAUUCGAGAGUAAGCGAAGAACCUUACCCAGGCUUGACAUCCUGCGAAUUUCUUCGAAAGAAGAAAGUGCUUUAUUGAGCGCAGUGACAGGUGUUGCAUGGCCGUCGUCAGCUCGUGUCGUGAGAUGUUUGGUUAAGUCCAUCAACGAGCGCAACCCCUAUAGUUAGUUGUAUUUUUCUAGCUAGACUGCCCCGGUAACGAGGAGGAAGGAGGGGUCGAAGUCAGGUCAGUAUUACCCUUACGUCUGGGGCUACAAGCACGCUACAAUGGCUAGUACAAAGGGCAGCCAAGUCGCAAGACGGAGCAAAUCCACAAAGCUAGUCCUAGUUCGGAUUGCAGGCUGAAACUCGUCUGCAUGAAGCUGGAAUCGCUAGUAAUGGUAGGUCAGCACACUACCGUGAAUACGUUCUCGGGUCUUGUACACACCGCCCGUCAAACCAUGAAAGUCGCCAAUACCUGACGUGUGAGCUUUGUCUCAUCCUAAGGUAGGGGAGAUGAUUGGGGUUAAGUCGUAACAAGGUAACCGUA